CAAGCCAGGUAUUAAUACAAUAAGGAGCAUCUGAAGAGAAGACUGGGGCCCAUUAUCAUUGCUACUGACCUUCAGGUCUUGGACCCUUCAUAAAGACGUUUAGAGUGAUGAUGAAUUUCCAUGAUGAAGAUGAAGGAUGGUGAAGUGAUCUCCUUUAUAUCUCCUCCCCUGCAAUGAUGGUGGCUCAGUAUCUGAUAAGAGAUUGGCUGUGAGGUCAUGAGACCUCUACAACCCAGCUGAUGGGAAACUGCUUAAAGGAUCAGUGCCUGGCUUGAAGUUCUAAUCACAGAUCCUGACCUGCAGGGAUCCCCAACAUCCCCGGGAUGCAGCCUGCUACAAACUGGAGGACACAGACGAGU
Pteronotus mesoamericanus is the source of this 359-nucleotide long non-coding RNA. RefSeq lists it as uncharacterized. Lineage: Eukaryota; Metazoa; Chordata; Mammalia; Chiroptera; Mormoopidae. The transcript is spliced from 3 exons. The record is from RefSeq and is a predicted model, not a curated record.